AAGAAAGUGGCAGAUUAGACAUAAUGCAUGUUUAAUUAAUAUGCAUGAAAUAUAAUGGCUUAUACUUUAAAUAAAUCCGCAUGCAGUAGUAUGGCGUGUAUAUUAAAUGUGUAGCUCGCUUUAUACUGUAAUGUACAUUCAAUAGAACGACCUAUACGUUAAAUGCAUGUACAUGCAAUGGUAUGGCCUUUACAUUGAAUUAAUGUGCAUGCAUAACGUGUUUAACUUAUACUUAAAAUGAAUAUGAUUGCAAAACGAUGGCUUUAAGUUCAAAUGCAUAGACACGCACUAGUAUAGCUUAUAUAUAAAUAAUAUGAAUGAAAUAGUUUGCUUUUACGUUAAAUGAGUAGCAUGCACUAUUAUGCCUUAUACUUAAAAUGCAUUUGUAAGCAAUAGCAUGACUUAUAUUUAAAAUGCAUGUGCAUGUAUUGUUGUUUUGUAGAUACGAAACGUAUUCUUUUAGUGAUAAUUUCAGGUUGAACUGUAUGGAUAUUUGAUAUCACAGGCCUCCAGUGUUUUCAUCUUGUCGCAAUACAACGCACAAUGUGCGGAAAUAAAGAGGAAGUUACGAGAAAAUUAUUUAAAUGAUGAAUAUGUGAGCACAGUGGUUUCAAGUCAAGGUGGAGAGUGGGAUUACGUGAUCUUCAGUACUGUACGAUCUCUGCCUGAAUACAAAAUUGAGAAGAACCCCACCUUGGGCUGGUGCAAAUACAAUCUGGGUUUUAUCACCGACCAGAACCAGGUCAACGUAGCCAUUACAAGAGCCAGGAAGGGUCUCGUCAUCGUUGGAAACAAGCAUCUUCUACGGUGUGACAGGACUUGGAAUACAAUCCUUGAAGACUAUGAACAUUACGGCUGCAUUAAAACUCCGCAGGAAUUCCCGCCACCAAACAAGCGGUUGCCAAGACGGGAAAUAAUGGCCCGUGAGCAAGCGCACAAUUACAGAAGACAUGGCGAGACCAUUUAUGAACGCGGGCAGGCCACCUCAUACGAUGGACCAAUCGAUGAAACACCAACAUCGCGAUUUCGAAAUCGCGGCGGUGUUUUUGCGAGACCAGGCUACCGUAAUUGAUCAUUUUAACAUGGGAGCUGGUACCUGAAGAAAGUUGUGGCAUUGACAAGUGUUUUCUGAGGUUGUUUGCAUUUUCACAUAUUUAUUUUAAGUUGCUUAUAAUAUGCAGAGUGUGAGUAACGUAUUUGUUUAUCCGUCUUCGUCUUUUAUUAUUUGUGUGUUGUUGUGUCACACGAUGCAUAACCAUGAUAUUUCAAGCUCUCAGUUUUGAUAAAUUGUUUGAGUAAUUCGCUCUACAUACGAUUUGCGUUGAAUCUGCCGAACAAGUAUAGGUUACAGUAUACUAAAAAAUCGUGUCUUGUAGGGCUGUACUCUCUAAAAAAAAUAGCAUAGUUGACUCGAAGGCAUGUUUUACACGUUUAACUAUUGUUCUGUUUUUUUUUUCUUUUGGCGAUAGUGGUAGGGUAUAAAUAGGUUUUCACUAAAUAUCCCUGAAAUAUGAUGAUUUUAGACACUGUAGUAAAACAUUGCAUUGAAAAAGGUUACAUUCCGCUCGAAUACGGCCGGAAAAAAUGUUGCAAAAACAGUUGAUGUUGAUUUGUGUCAAGUUUUUCCUUGGUUUGUACAUGACAUAUCUUUUUUAUUGAAUAAAUCGAUUCCGCUUAGAAUGGCCUUAAAGAAAAGGUAAGGUUAUGGGGGUCUCGUUGUGCAAAAUGUUGCAUUUAUUUGUGCUUAAAGUUGUCGCUUUUACAAUGAAUUACAAAGGGAAACUAUUUAGUAUAUUAUGACCACAAUAAGGUACUAACAUUUCAAUAUUGUCAGGUGACAAUGGAUAAUUAAUAAUUGUCAAAUGUUUAUUUGUGUUGUUUUAUUUAUAUUGUAUUUGGUAUACGACUGUACGUGGUAUGUAAGUGUACGCGUUGAUGAGUUGUUUUUAUGAAUAUUUGUCAUGGUAUUUCUUUUUAUAAUAUUGUUAACAAUUACACAUACUAAUUGAAAUUGUCUGAAAAUGAUAUUAAUUAGUUCAUUGCAUUUUAUAACAUAUCAAAUCUAAAUUAUUUUAAACAGUAUUAUCUGACGUUUUGUUAUUAAUAGUUGAAUUUAAAUAGUUUUACGCGACCAAUUGUGGUAUACUAGUACUUGAAAUUAA
Dreissena polymorpha is the source of this 2162-nucleotide long non-coding RNA. RefSeq lists it as uncharacterized. The transcript has 3 exons. The record is from RefSeq and is a predicted model, not a curated record. NCBI's taxonomy places the organism in Eukaryota, Metazoa, Mollusca, Bivalvia, Myida, Dreissenidae.